Molecule: ribosomal RNA, 429 nt
Filed under: Chloroflexota bacterium
Lineage: Bacteria; Bacillati; Chloroflexota
Description: Chloroflexi bacterium partial 16S ribosomal RNA
Rfam family: Bacterial small subunit ribosomal RNA
Source: RNAcentral
UGGGGAAUAUUGCACAAUGGGCGCAAGCCUGAUGCAGCCAUGCCGCGUGUAUGAAGAAGGCCUUCGGGUUGUAAAGUACUUUCAGCGGGGAGGAAGGGAGUAAAGUUAAUACCUUUGCUCAUUGACGUUACCCGCAGAAGAAGCACCGGCUAACUCCGUGCCAGCAGCCGCGGUAAUACGGAGGGUGCAAGCGUUAAUCGGAAUUACUGGGCGUAAAGCGCACGCAGGCGGUUUGUUAAGUCAGAUGUGAAAUCCCCGGGCUCAACCUGAGAACUGCAUCUGAUACUGGCAAGCUUGAGUCUCGUAGAGGGGGGUAGAAUUCCAGGUGUAGCGAUGAAAUGCGUAGAGAUCUGGAGGAAUACCGGUGGCGAAGGCGGCCCCCUAGACGAAGACUGACGCUCAGGUGCGAAAGCGUGGGGAGCAAACAGG